Transfer RNA from Rhizophagus irregularis DAOM 197198w, 72 nucleotides. It matches the Rfam family "tRNA". From Rfam's summary of the family: Transfer RNA (tRNA) molecules are approximately 80 nucleotides in length. Their secondary structure includes four short double-helical elements and three loops (D, anti-codon, and T loops). Further hydrogen bonds mediate the characteristic L-shaped molecular structure. tRNAs have two regions of fundamental functional importance: the anti-codon, which is responsible for specific mRNA codon recognition, and the 3' end, to which the tRNAs corresponding amino acid is attached (by aminoacyl-tRNA synthetases). tRNAs cope with the degeneracy of the genetic code in two manners: having more than one tRNA (with a specific anti-codon) for a particular amino acid; and 'wobble' base-pairing, i.e. permitting non-standard base-pairing at the 3rd anti-codon position. The record is from Rfam. Lineage: Eukaryota; Fungi; Glomeromycota; Glomeromycetes; Glomerales; Glomeraceae.
GGGGAUAUAAUUCAAUUGGUAGAAUGUUAACUUUGCACGUUAAAAGCCUAGGUUCGAUUCCUAGUAUCUCCA